Long non-coding RNA from Eriocheir sinensis (Chinese mitten crab), 699 nucleotides. RefSeq lists it as uncharacterized. The transcript has 2 exons. The record is from RefSeq and is a predicted model, not a curated record. Lineage: Eukaryota; Metazoa; Arthropoda; Malacostraca; Decapoda; Varunidae.
UACACCUUGGAGAGCAAACUCCGAAAAAUAAACCCGGGCAGGUGGAGGUCGUUAGCGAAAGCAGUUCAUCUAGGAGAGCAAACUCCGAUUACAAAACCGGGCAGGUGGAGGUCGUUAGCGUGAGCAGUUCACCUAGGAGAGCAAACUCCGAUUACAAACCCGGGCAGGUGGAGGUCGUUAGCGAAAGCAAUUCAUCUAGGAGAGCAAACUCCGAUUACAAACCCGGGCAGGUGGAGGUCGUUAGCGAAAGCAGUUCACCUAGGAGAGCAAACUCCGAUUACAAACCCGGGCAGGUUGGGCUCGUGAGCCGUCAUAGGUAAUACACCUAGGAGAGCAAACUCCGAUCAUAAAACCCGGGCAGGUUGGGCUCGUGAGCCGUCAUAGGCAAUACACCUAGGAGAGUAAACUCCGAUCAUAAAACCCGGGCAGGUGGAGCUCGUCAGCCGUGGUAGGCAGUCUGCCUAGGAGAGCAAACUCCGAACAAUAAACCCGGGCAGGUGGAGCUCGUCAGCCGUGGUAGGCAGUCUGCCUAGGAGAGCAAACUCCGAACAAUACACCGGGGCUUGUGGUGCUCGUUAGAUGUCGUAGACAAUCCACGUGAUGGGAACACCAAAGAAAAGGAAAAUAAAAAGGAACACCAGAAAAAGGAAAAUAUAGUAACAAAACAUCAAGAAAAAAAAAAAACACAGAUCAUCCACC